UAGAUUAAUAAAGUUGGAUAUUAAAAACAAUAGUUCUAAAUCCAAAAAAUUUGGCGGUAUUUUAAUCAAUCAGGGGAACUUGCAUAUUAAAUCGAUAAUCCACGAAAAUCUUACUUUUAUUUGAAACUCAGUUAGUGUACUGCCGUAUUUAUAUAAAUUUAUAAUUAUAUAUAAAUAAGAUUAAAUAUCUUAUACAACAGGUCAAAGUGCAGCUUAUAUAAAAGGAGAUUGUGAGUUACAUUAUUAAAAUAAUAUGAAUUAUAUUAAUAUAAUAUAUAUAUGAAAAUGGACUUGAUAGUAAUUAUAAAAAGUAAUGAAUUAACUCUUAAAAUGUGU
Molecule: ribosomal RNA, 336 nt
Filed under: Piscicolinae sp. PT-2003
Lineage: Eukaryota; Metazoa; Annelida; Clitellata; Hirudinida; Piscicolidae
Description: partial 12S ribosomal RNA
Source: RNAcentral